UACAGAGGGGGCAAGCGUUGUUCGGAAUUACUGGGCGUAAAGGGCGCGUAGGCGGCCUGCUAAGUCGAACGUGAAAUCCCUGGGCUCAACCCAGGAACUGCGUCCGAUACUGGUUGGCUUGAAUUCGGGAGAGGGAUGUGGAAUUCCAGGUGUAGCGGUGAAAUGCGUAGAUAUCUGGAGGAACACCGAUGGCGAAGGCGGCAUCCUGGACCGAUAUUGACGCUGAUGCGCGAAAGCCAGGGGAGCAAACGGG
RNAcentral lists this ribosomal RNA (253 nucleotides) under uncultured bacterium. RNAcentral's name for it is "partial 16S ribosomal RNA". It matches the Rfam family "Bacterial small subunit ribosomal RNA", at positions 524 to 776 of the family's 1533-position model. The record is from RNAcentral.